This 2900-nucleotide ribosomal RNA is filed under the name Klebsiella pneumoniae. Its description in RNAcentral is "bacterial LSU rRNA". It matches the Rfam family "Bacterial large subunit ribosomal RNA". RNAcentral also lists the same sequence under 1 other name. The record is from RNAcentral. Lineage: Bacteria; Pseudomonadati; Pseudomonadota; Gammaproteobacteria; Enterobacterales; Enterobacteriaceae.
UUAAGCGACUAAGCGUACACGGUGGAUGCCCUGGCAGUCAGAGGCGAUGAAGGACGUGCUAAUCUGCGAAAAGCGUCGGUAAGGUGAUAUGAACCGUUAUAACCGGCGAUGUCCGAAUGGGGAAACCCAGUGCAAUUCGUUGCACUAUCGUUAACUGAAUACAUAGGUUAACGAGGCGAACCGGGGGAACUGAAACAUCUAAGUACCCCGAGGAAAAGAAAUCAACCGAGAUUCCCCCAGUAGCGGCGAGCGAACGGGGAGCAGCCCAGAGUCUGAAUCAGCUUGUGUGUUAGUGGAACGGUCUGGAAAGUCCGACGGUACAGGGUGAUAGUCCCGUACACCAAAAUGCACAGGCUGUGAACUCGAAGAGUAGGGCGGGACACGUGGUAUCCUGUCUGAAUAUGGGGGGACCAUCCUCCAAGGCUAAAUACUCCUGACUGACCGAUAGUGAACCAGUACCGUGAGGGAAAGGCGAAAAGAACCCCGGCGAGGGGAGUGAAAAAGAACCUGAAACCGUGUACGUACAAGCAGUGGGAGCACCUUCGGGUGUGACUGCGUACCUUUUGUAUAAUGGGUCAGCGACUUAUAUUCUGUAGCAAGGUUAACCGUAUAGGGGAGCCGCAGGGAAACCGAGUCUUAACUGGGCGUUAAGUUGCAGGGUAUAGACCCGAAACCCGGUGAUCUAGCCAUGGGCAGGUUGAAGGUUGGGUAACACUAACUGGAGGACCGAACCGACUAAUGUUGAAAAAUUAGCGGAUGACUUGUGGCUGGGGGUGAAAGGCCAAUCAAACCGGGAGAUAGCUGGUUCUCCCCGAAAGCUAUUUAGGUAGCGCCUCGUGAAUUCAUCUUCGGGGGUAGAGCACUGUUUCGGCUAGGGGGUCAUCCCGACUUACCAACCCGAUGCAAACUACGAAUACCGAAGAAUGUUAUCACGGGAGACACACGGCGGGUGCUAACGUCCGUCGUGAAGAGGGAAACAACCCAGACCGCCAGCUAAGGUCCCAAAGUCAUGGUUAAGUGGGAAACGAUGUGGGAAGGCACAGACAGCCAGGAUGUUGGCUUAGAAGCAGCCAUCAUUUAAAGAAAGCGUAAUAGCUCACUGGUCGAGUCGGCCUGCGCGGAAGAUGUAACGGGGCUAAACCAUGCACCGAAGCUGCGGCAGCGACACUAUGUGUUGUUGGGUAGGGGAGCGUUCUGUAAGCCUGCGAAGGUGACCUGUGAGGGUUGCUGGAGGUAUCAGAAGUGCGAAUGCUGACAUAAGUAACGAUAAAGCGGGUGAAAAGCCCGCUCGCCGGAAGACCAAGGGUUCCUGUCCAACGUUAAUCGGGGCAGGGUGAGUCGACCCCUAAGGCGAGGCCGAAAGGCGUAGUCGAUGGGAAACAGGUUAAUAUUCCUGUACUUGGUGUUACUGCGAAGGGGGGACGGAGAAGGCUAUGUUAGCCGGGCGACGGUUGUCCCGGUUUAAGCAUGUAGGCUGGUUGUCCAGGCAAAUCCGGAUAAUCAAGGCUGAGGUGUGAUGACGAGGCACUACGGUGCUGAAGUAACAAAUGCCCUGCUUCCAGGAAAAGCCUCUAAGCAUCAGGUAACAUCAAAUCGUACCCCAAACCGACACAGGUGGUCAGGUAGAGAAUACCAAGGCGCUUGAGAGAACUCGGGUGAAGGAACUAGGCAAAAUGGUGCCGUAACUUCGGGAGAAGGCACGCUGGUGUGUAGGUGAAGUCCCUGCGGAUGGAGCUGAGACCAGUCGAAGAUACCAGCUGGCUGCAACUGUUUAUUAAAAACACAGCACUGUGCAAACACGAAAGUGGACGUAUACGGUGUGACGCCUGCCCGGUGCCGGAAGGUUAAUUGAUGGGGUUAUCCGUAAGGAGAAGCUCUUGAUCGAAGCCCCGGUAAACGGCGGCCGUAACUAUAACGGUCCUAAGGUAGCGAAAUUCCUUGUCGGGUAAGUUCCGACCUGCACGAAUGGCGUAAUGAUGGCCAGGCUGUCUCCACCCGAGACUCAGUGAAAUUGAACUCGCUGUGAAGAUGCAGUGUACCCGCGGCAAGACGGAAAGACCCCGUGAACCUUUACUAUAGCUUGACACUGAACAUUGAGCCUUGAUGUGUAGGAUAGGUGGGAGGCUUUGAAGCGUGGACGCCAGUCUGCGUGGAGCCAACCUUGAAAUACCACCCUUUAAUGUUUGAUGUUCUAACGUUGGCCCCUUACCGGGGUUGCGGACAGUGUCUGGUGGGUAGUUUGACUGGGGCGGUCUCCUCCCAAAGCGUAACGGAGGAGCACGAAGGUUAGCUAAUCCUGGUCGGACAUCAGGAGGUUAGUGCAAUGGCAUAAGCUAGCUUGACUGCGAGCGUGACGGCGCGAGCAGGUGCGAAAGCAGGUCAUAGUGAUCCGGUGGUUCUGAAUGGAAGGGCCAUCGCUCAACGGAUAAAAGGUACUCCGGGGAUAACAGGCUGAUACCGCCCAAGAGUUCAUAUCGACGGCGGUGUUUGGCACCUCGAUGUCGGCUCAUCACAUCCUGGGGCUGAAGUAGGUCCCAAGGGUAUGGCUGUUCGCCAUUUAAAGUGGUACGCGAGCUGGGUUUAGAACGUCGUGAGACAGUUCGGUCCCUAUCUGCCGUGGGCGCUGGAGAAUUGAGGGGGGCUGCUCCUAGUACGAGAGGACCGGAGUGGACGCAUCACUGGUGUUCGGGUUGUCAUGCCAAUGGCACUGCCCGGUAGCUAAAUGCGGAAGAGAUAAGUGCUGAAAGCAUCUAAGCACGAAACUUGCCCCGAGAUGAGUUCUCCCUGAGACUUUAAGUCUCCUGAAGGAACGUUAAAGACGAUGACGUUGAUAGGCCGGGUGUGUAAGCGCAGCGAUGCGUUGAGCUAACCGGUACUAAUGAACCGUGAGGCUUAACCUU